AACGGCCGUACCAUGCUGAAUAUACCGGUUCUCGUUAGAUCACCGAAGUUAAGCAUCAUUCGGCGCGGUGAGUACUUGGGUGGGUGACCACCUGGGAACACUGCGUGCCGUU
This 112-nucleotide ribosomal RNA is filed under the name Caerostris darwini. The record is from RNAcentral. Lineage: Eukaryota; Metazoa; Arthropoda; Arachnida; Araneae; Araneidae.